This 497-nucleotide ribosomal RNA is filed under the name uncultured bacterium. RNAcentral's name for it is "partial 16S ribosomal RNA". It matches the Rfam family "Bacterial small subunit ribosomal RNA", at positions 28 to 507 of the family's 1533-position model. The record is from RNAcentral.
GAUGAACGCUGGCGGCGUGCCUAAUACAUGCAAGUCGAGCGAACAGACGAGGAGCUUGCUCCUCUGACGUUAGCGGCGGACGGGUGAGUAACACGUGGAUAACCUACCUAUAAGACUGGGAUAACUUCGGGAAACCGGAGCUAAUACCGGAUAAUAUAUUGAACCGCAUGGUUCAAUAGUGAAAGACGGUUUUGCUGUCACUUAUAGAUGGAUCCGCGCCGCAUUAGCUAGUUGGUAAGGUAACGGCUUACCAAGGCAACGAUGCGUAGCCGACCUGAGAGGGUGAUCGGCCACACUGGAACUGAGACACGUUCCAGACUCCUACGGUGGGCAGCAGUAGGGAAUCUUCCGCAAUGGACGAAAGCCUGACGGAGCAACGCCGCGUGAGUGAUGAAGGUCUUCUGAUCGUAAAGCUCUGUUAUUAGGAAAGAACAAAUGUGUAAGUAACUAUGCACGUCUUGACGGUACCUAAUCAGAAAGCCACGGCUAACUACGUG